UACGUAGGGGGCAAGCGUUGUCCGGAUUUACUGGGCGUAAAGAGCGUGUAGGCGGCCAAACAGGUCCGUUGUGAAAACUGGAGGCUUAACCUCCAGACGUCGACGGAAACCGUGUGGCUAGAGUCCGGAAGAGGGGAGUGGAAUUCCUGGUGUAGCGGUGAAAUGCGCAGAUAUCAGGAAGAACACCAAUGGCGAAGGCAGCUCUCUGGGACGGUACUGACGCUGAGACGCGAAAGCGUGGGGAGCGAACAGG
Molecule: ribosomal RNA, 253 nt
Filed under: uncultured bacterium
Lineage: Bacteria
Description: partial 16S ribosomal RNA
Rfam family: Bacterial small subunit ribosomal RNA
Source: RNAcentral